RNAcentral lists this ribosomal RNA (487 nucleotides) under uncultured bacterium. Its description in RNAcentral is "bacterial SSU rRNA". It matches the Rfam family "Bacterial small subunit ribosomal RNA", at positions 501 to 987 of the family's 1533-position model. The record is from RNAcentral.
CUACGUGCCAGCAGCCGCGGUAAUACGUAGGUGGCAAGCGUUGUCCGGAAUUAUUGGGCGUAAAGCGCGCGCAGGCGGAUUGGUCAGUCUGUCUUAAAAGUUCGGGGCUUAACCCCGUGAUGGGAUGGAAACUGCCAAUCUAGAGUAUCGGAGAGGAAAGUGGAAUUCCUAGUGUAGCGGUGAAAUGCGUAGAUAUUAGGAAGAACACCAGUGGCGAAGGCGACUUUCUGGACGAAAACUGACGCUGAGGCGCGAAAGCCAGGGGAGCGAACGGGAUUAGAUACCCCGGUAGUCCUGGCCGUAAACGAUGGGUACUAGGUGUAGGAGGUAUCGACCCCUUCUGUGCCGGAGUUAACGCAAUAAGUACCCCGCCUGGGGAGUACGACCGCAAGGUUGAAACUCAAAGGAAUUGACGGGGGCCCGCACAAGCGGUGGAGUAUGUGGUUUAACUCGACGCAACGCGAAGAACCUUACCAGGUCUUGACAU